GCGAGUGAACCGGGAAGAGCUCAAAUUUGAAAUCUGGCUGUCUUCGAUAGUCCGAGUUGUAAUCUAUAGAAGCGUUUUCCGUGCUGAACUGUGUCUAAGUCCCUUGGAACAGGGUAUCAAAGAGGGUGACAAUCCCGUACUUGACACAAUCAUCAGUGCUCUGUGAUACGUUCUCUACGAGUCGAGUUGUUUGGGAAUGCAGCUCAAAAUGGGUGGUAAAUUCCAUCUAAAGCUAAAUAUUGGCGAGAGACCGAUAGCGAACAAGUACCGUGAGGGAAAGAUGAAAAGCACUUUGGAAAGAGAGUUAAACAGUACGUGAAAUUGUUAAAAGGGAAACGAUUGAAGUCAGUCGUGUUUAUUGGAUUCAGCCGGUCUUCGGUGUACUUCCUUUAAACGGGUCAACAUCAGUUUUGUCCGGUGGAUAAAGGCAGUAGGAAUGUGGCUCCCUCGGGAGUGUUAUAGCCUAUUGUCACAUACACUGGAGGAGACUGAGGACUGCAGCUCGCCUUUUGGCCGGGGUUCGCCCACGUUCGAGCUUAGGAUGUUGACAUAAUGGCUUUAAACGACCC
RNAcentral lists this ribosomal RNA (569 nucleotides) under Apiotrichum laibachii. RNAcentral describes it as "eukaryotic LSU rRNA". It matches the Rfam family "Eukaryotic large subunit ribosomal RNA", at positions 89 to 650 of the family's 3401-position model. The record is from RNAcentral. Lineage: Eukaryota; Fungi; Basidiomycota; Tremellomycetes; Trichosporonales; Trichosporonaceae.